Molecule: ribosomal RNA, 450 nt
Filed under: uncultured bacterium
Lineage: Bacteria
Description: partial 16S ribosomal RNA
Rfam family: Bacterial small subunit ribosomal RNA
Source: RNAcentral
GUGGGGAAUAUUGGACAAUGGGGGGAACCCUGAUCCAGCCAUGCCGCGUGUGUGAAGAAGGCCUUUUGGUUGUAAAGCACUUUAAGCGAGGAGGAGGCUACCGAGAUUAAUACUCUUGGAUAGUGGACGUUACUCGCAGAAUAAGCACCGGCUAACUCUGUGCCAGCAGCCGCGGUAAUACAGAGGGUGCAAGCGUUAAUCGGAUUUACUGGGCGUAAAGCGCGCGUAGGUGGACAAUUAAGUCAAAUGUGAAAUCCCCGAGCUUAACUUGGGAAUUGCAUUCGAUACUGGUUGGCUAGAGUAUGGGAGAGGAUGGUAGAAUUCCAGGUGUAGCGGUGAAAUGCGUAGAGAUCUGGAGGAAUACCGAUGGCGAAGGCAGCCAUCUGGCCUAAUACUGACACUGAGGUGCGAAAGCAUGGGGAGCAAACAGGAUUAGAACCCGUGUAGUCC